RNAcentral lists this ribosomal RNA (309 nucleotides) under Triticum aestivum (bread wheat). Its description in RNAcentral is "partial small subunit ribosomal RNA". The record is from RNAcentral. Lineage: Eukaryota; Viridiplantae; Streptophyta; Magnoliopsida; Poales; Poaceae.
AUGAGUGGUUGGCUUCUCGACUCCGACACUCUGUAUGGACUAGCCCGGUCUUUGCCCAGAAGUUCUAGAAGGUACAAUGCUGAAAAUUCAGUAGAACAUGGUGCUCCUAUAAAUACUGAUAAUCCGGAACCUGGCAACCAUUGGCUUUUGAAGUUUGGCAGUUUGUUAAAGAGCAAAUUGAUCCAAGGUCCACAGCCAAAGCACCACUCGAGUUUCAUAUGCAGUACAAAGACGAGGCUAGAAAUUGAUCUUAAGUCUGAAGGAACGUCACUUUUGAAAGAAGAACAAGGAUUAGCAAGAGGCUGCUAA